GGCCCGCUGCACUGUGGGUAGGCGGCGGCGGCGGCUGCUACGCGGAGCGGCAGGCGGCGGAGCGAGGCCGCGCGCGCCGAAGAUGGCUGAGAAGCAGAAGCACGACGGGCGGGUGAAGAUCGGACACUACGUGCUGGGCGACACGCUGGGCGUCGGCACCUUCGGCAAAGUGAAGAUUGGAGAACAUCAAUUAACAGGCCAUAAAGUGGCAGUUAAAAUCUUAAAUAGACAGAAGAUUCGCAGUUUAGAUGUUGUUGGAAAAAUAAAACGAGAAAUUCAAAAUCUAAAACUCUUUCGUCAUCCUCAUAUUAUCAAACUAUACCAGGUGAUCAGCACUCCAACAGAUUUUUUUAUGGUAAUGGAAUAUGUGUCUGGAGGUGAAUUAUUUGACUACAUCUGUAAGCAUGGACGGGUUGAGGAGAUGGAAGCCAGGCGGCUCUUUCAGCAGAUUCUGUCUGCUGUGGAUUACUGUCAUAGGCAUAUGGUUGUUCAUCGAGACCUGAAACCAGAGAAUGUUCUGUUGGACGCACACAUGAAUGCCAAGAUAGCCGAUUUUGGAUUAUCUAAUAUGAUGUCAGAUGGUGAAUUUCUGAGAACUAGUUGCGGAUCUCCAAAUUAUGCAGCACCUGAAGUCAUCUCAGGCAGAUUGUAUGCAGGUCCUGAAGUUGAUAUCUGGAGCUGUGGUGUUAUCUUGUAUGCUCUUCUUUGUGGCACCCUCCCAUUUGAUGAUGAGCAUGUACCUACGUUAUUUAAGAAGAUCCGAGGGGGUGUCUUUUAUAUCCCAGAAUAUCUCAAUCGUUCUGUCGCCACUCUCCUGAUGCAUAUGCUGCAGGUUGACCCACUGAAACGAGCAACUAUCAAAGACAUAAGAGAGCAUGAAUGGUUUAAACAAGAUUUGCCCAGUUACUUAUUUCCUGAAGACCCUUCCUAUGAUGCUAACGUCAUUGAUGAUGAGGCUGUGAAAGAAGUGUGUGAAAAAUUUGAAUGUACAGAAUCAGAAGUAAUGAACAGUUUAUAUAGUGGUGACCCUCAAGACCAGCUUGCGGUGGCUUAUCAUCUUAUCAUUGACAAUCGGAGAAUAAUGAACCAAGCCAGUGAGUUCUACCUCGCCUCUAGUCCUCCAUCUGGUUCUUUUAUGGAUGAUAGUGCCAUGCAUAUUCCCCCAGGCCUGAAACCUCAUCCAGAAAGGAUGCCACCUCUUAUAGCAGACAGCCCCAAAGCAAGAUGUCCACUGGAUGCACUGAAUACGACUAAGCCCAAAUCUUUAGCUGUGAAAAAAGCUAAGUGGCAUCUUGGAAUCCGAAGUCAGAGCAAACCGUAUGACAUUAUGGCUGAAGUUUACCGAGCUAUGAAGCAGCUGGAUUUUGAAUGGAAGGUAGUGAAUGCAUACCAUCUUCGUGUAAGAAGAAAAAAUCCAGUGACUGGCAAUUACGUGAAAAUGAGCUUACAACUUUACCUGGUUGAUAACAGGAGCUAUCUUUUGGACUUUAAAAGCAUUGAUGGUAAGGAAGCUAUGCAUGCAUGAGCUCUGAGAAGAUAAAACUUGGCACUAGUUGACCAGAUGUUAAAAUCAUCUCGAAGACAUCCGGUGGGUAGGUCCUGCACUGGUUUUUAAGCAAUCUAGACUUAACCAAAAUGUAAGUGAAGUGAAAAGGAUGAAAGACAUGUUGAAUACCUCUUACCUGGCAUCUUUCCACAAGAAGUAUCUCCGUGGCAUAAAAGAAUCAUUUGAAGUGUUGCCGUGGAGCACAAAUGAAGUAGUGGAGCAGAGAUCUGGUUCCUCAACACCUCAGCGUUCCUGUUCUGCUGCUGGCUUACACAGACCAAGAUCAAGUUUUGAUUCCACAACUGCAGAGAGCCAUUCACUUUCUGGCUCUCUCACUGGCUCUUUGACCGGAAGCACAUUGUCUUCAGUUUCACCUCGCCUGGGCAGUCACACCAUGGAUUUUUUUGAAAUGUGUGCCAGUCUGAUUACUACUUUAGCCCGUUGAUCUGUCUCUAGUUUCUUUCUGUUAUUGCACUAUGAAAAUCAGUUAUAUUCUUUAAAUUUUUAUCUUACUUUUGGAUAAUAUCCACUGCAAUACUAAUUGAGAAACAUGAAUUAUUUCCAGAGGCACACAAUGCUAUUGAAAUUACUGAAAACAAAAUAUCUGACAUCUUAUUUACUUGUAGAAAUCUGUAAUUCUAUUGUGCCUAUGAUAAAUUCACAUAGGCAAUAUCUUUAAUAGGUUAAUAUCGAUGAAGAUUUUUAAUUACAAUAAUGAGUUCACUACAGACGAUUAACACACCACACUGGCGAACCAUCUCAAUGUAAGGGUGGUUUGGCAACACCUCCUUGCUUUGCUGUUUGGUGUAGGUAAAUCUAGUUUACUUCCUAAAUUUCAGUAGGCUUUAUGCUGUGUUUAUGCCCCCAAUUUAUUUUAACAAAAGAAGAUUAAAAAGUAAAAGAACCACGAGUAAGAUAUUAUUUAAAUGUUGAAAUCUUAAAAACCUGCCUCCAAGAUUUCAGAAGCCAAGUUUUUCUAACAGUAUUUGUACAAAUACUGCCUAGUGUAUUCAACAGAAGGACUGUGGUCAUGUAACAGGUAACCACAAUUUUCAGGUUUCUUAAAAACAGCUGUAACUAACUCAGGAUUUUUAUCUUGAGAUUUCCCUGAAUAAUAUAUUUAUCUUAAGAGCCUUCAAGUUUCAAAUUAAUAUUGGAACAUCUGGAAUUGCAACAACUUUUGUCUUUUACAUAAACUUAUGUCAUUUAAAAAAUGUCUUCAAAAUCUACCUUUCUCAAAUUCUUUUUGCCUCUAUUUAUUUUUGCAUUUCACCAACAGUGAUAAAAUAGUUAAAUGAAACAAAGCAAAGUAUCAACAGUCCCUUAAAUGAGAAUCCUUAUCUUUGAUCUUUAUUUUCUGUGUUAGGUGUUAGGGUCCUGGUGCAGCUCAUAAUGCUAAUUCUUCAUUGGAAGCCACUCCCUUCACUUCACCUAACCUAGUCACUAUUGUCUUUGUUCAUUGUUUGAUCCUGAGUGGUUGAUUGAUAUAGCUUUGAAUCUUUUCUAGUCCAAGUUUGAAAACACUGUUCUGGCCCUAAGGGCUGGCUAUGACCUUCACUGUUGAACCUGAUAGGGCAGGGAAGCUUUGAACAUCAAGAAAAAAUUUUUAUCUUAAAUAAAUAUAUAUAUAUAUUCACAAACCAGUGCUUUUAAGCAAAAACCAGAUUUUUGUUUGUUUGUUUUGCUUUGUGCAGGUUUUUUUUAAGAUUAAAAAACACAAACUAUAGCAGGGUAGAUAAUAGUUUAUUGAUUAUAUUUUGUUUUAGUAAAAGUAUUUAAUUUUAAAUUCUGUGUAAUUUAUCUAAUUUGUAUUUAUUCUUUUGUUAUUUUUAUGUUGUAAUUAACACUUAUUUACCUGGAUUACCCUAAAAAAAUUAAGCUCUUGAAAACAAAAAAAUGACAUUACCUUGACAGGCUUCUCUUUGCCAAAAGUAAUGUAUGUUCUACCAAGAAGCAAAUGAGAAUAUUAGACUAAGUUUCUCCUGUGUUCGUGGAAAACAAGUGUGUCUAUCUUUAAAUUUUCUUUGAAUCAGGAGUUUGCGUUGUGUCACAUCAUAUGGCUUUGCAGAUCUUUUAAAAACUGAUGUUAAAUAACUUAUAAGUCCAACUUCUUAAUAUCAAAAUAAAUGAAUAGUUCACCAAUUUGGGAAGGAGGGCGGGUUGCAAUUUGAGAUAGUGUAAGGUUUAAUUAUUGAAAGACUGCCAUCUUGUGGCACCUAAAGGUAAUUUUUACGUGAUUAUUUGUAUAGUGAUAAGCAGUCCUGCUGUGUUAGCCUGGUCCAUUAUAGAUAUGGCAUAGUUUUGGGUUCUCUAAAUGGGUCCAUACCUCUUUUGGGAAAAAACAGGGCCACCUCAUAAUAUUUGCCUGAUUAUGAAUGGAAUUACCUUAGAAAUAAGGAACUAAUCAGAUUACUUAACCCCAAUGACAAAAUCCGCAAAAAUUUUGAAGGCAGAGAAACAGAAGGAAUCCAGUGAUGUUUUAGCUCCAUUAGUCUAAUAGGUCAGAUAUUAAAAAAUUGUUCAUAUCAAAAUUACCUUAUAUGGAUGAUUGCCAUGUUUUUUGAGAGUUAAUUAUUUACUGUUUUCUAAUUCUUGCCAGUAUUUAUGAACAGCUGUAGUUUGAUAUUUACCUACUGAAUUUUAGGAGAACUAAUGGUCACAGUUUGGGUUCUUUUAUGUGUAUGUUUUUAAAACAGCUAUUUUGUGAAUCUAGGUGGUUGGUUUUUAGAGAGAAGAUUUCAGGAGAUGCAGUCCAGCACAAUUAGAGCUAGAACAUUGUUACAGCAGGCUUUUUGUUGCUCAUGGGCAGAUAGAGGGAAAGAAUCAGUUGUUAGCCCCAAAUUUCCACAUUUCAGUCUUGUAAACUCUGGAUGUGGUAGGUAGAUGUGGGCUAACAAUAAUUUCCUCCAGUUAAGACACGGGAGAAGAGCUUCUAUUAUUAGGUUAUAGAUAAGGCCUUAGUUAUAUCUUGGAAAUGGACUCCAUGUAGUUCUAGAACUGCAUUUCCCAAAGUAUAUCCUGUGAGAUGCUCCACAGAAAAAAAGAUUGCAUGGACUAAGUUUGAAAAAUGUUGCAUGCUACUCUUCCCCUCGAAGAUGACAGUGGAUGUCAGCAUUAAAGACUUUGACAGGUCUUUCUGUGAAAAAAAAGAAAGCCAUAUAACUUUGUUGAACUUUGCCCAAAUUAAUUUUUCAUUUUAAAAAACUUAAUAUCCCAUGAAAAAAGGCAAAUUUGGGAAAUACAUUUUUUAGGAAAAUACUGUCCCAGAAUGCCAUAAUUAGGGUAGUUAAUAAUUAACACUUCCAUUUCUCUUACUGGUUGUUGGGAGAAUCUGAUUGAAAAUUAGAAUUACUUUGUUUUAACUUGCAGACAUGUUCAUCAUGAGUGAAUGCUGGAUUAAAUAGAAUUUUCUGUGUCUGCAACUUGUUUCAUGACACCUUGGUUUUCUUAAUCAUCUUGUAUUAUUAUUUGAGUGCAACAUUAUUCUUAUGCAUGGGUGACUGAAAAACCUGAAACAAGAUUACUUGUUAAAAAAAAGUCUAAGAGACUAGUGACUCAUGCUUAUGGCUCUGUGGGUAAUGAAUCAGUGUCACUGAUUCUUACUUUUAAAAUGUGUAGUCAGUGAACAUUUUCUAAAUACUUUUCUUUGGGAUACCAUAUGAAGAUCUAAUUCCUUAUGUUUCAAUGUAGGAACAGCUACCUUCUCAAAUAGAAUAUGCAGGGAGGGAAGUAGGCAAACCAUUUACAAGUUGGGUUUUUGUUUUGAUUAACCUGUUAAGAGACACUUUUGUAAUCUCUAGUGUUUACAUUCCUUUAUACUAGCUAUCUAUAAAGAGAAUCCAGAAGCCUAAAUUAAUCAGAAAUAAUUGUAUUUCUAUGUCAGGGUAUUGGCUAUAUGUAGCAUGAACAAUUCUCCAUUUUCUGCAAAUGGGUUUUUCAGGACAGUUUUAUAAUUCUGAGUUUGCUUUUUCUUAUUCCCUAGACAGUUUGUACUCAGGGAAUACAAAUUGAUUUUUACUGUUAAAUGAGACAUAGUUUAGAAAAAAUCAUAAGCAACUAUUGUAGAUUUUUGAUCUGUUUGGAUUUAUCAGUAGCAUUGAAUAAUGUGCAGUGUACUGAGUUAAUGUAGGCACCUCACUUUCGAUUUAUAAAAUGUAAAAACCUGGAACAUGCCUGCCACAGACACCACUUUGUCUAUUCACCGGGUAAUAAUUUACAUCCUAUUAAUGGUUGUAAAAGCUGAGUGUCUAAAUGCUAGACAUGUUCACAAUUUUGUCUGUUUUUGUUUAUUUGUUUUUAAAGACCCAAACCUUUUCAAUCUUGCAUUUAUUUACUUGGUUCUCCUGUGUCACCCUGUGGCUUUUUAAAUAGGGAAUGUAAUUUAUUUUAAUAGUAGUUCUCAAAGACUCUAUUAAAAACUCUGGACGAGGGAUAUGUGCAAUCUGUUGGUAAGUCACAUCCUAUGUUUGGCCUCAUUUUUAUAACUCCUAAAAUGAGAAAGGUAGAUUUUAACACUUCUAAGGUACCUUUGAGCUUUCAAGUUCUUUUCUGCUUUUCCAUAUGAUUUGUGUUAGUGUUCACUUUUUAUAUAUUUAGAGUUUUUAUAUGAGUGUGAAUGUUUCUGUUUUGAUUUGGUGAGGCAUGUCAAAGGUAUAUACUUGAAUAUUUUUCUAAAUACAGCUGCUGGAGGAAUGCAAAUGGCAAAAAUCAUCCAGAAAACCAAACACGGUGAAACAUCACGUCCAUUUGGCAUGAAGAAAAGCAUUACAAAUUUGGAGUGAUGAAAGUGUUCCAUAUAUUUUUUAUAGUGAUUUUUCGAUCUAGAGACCCUUCAUAUUGUUUACUUACUAUUACAAUAACUUGGAGAGGUAACCAGAGAAAGCAUUUUUGCCAUUUCCAGAUGAGGAAGCAGGACCAGAAAGCUCUUCAUAAAGCUUUAACACCAUACAAGUAUCCAGCAGUGAUCAAUUGCUCUUUAUAGGAAACCACCUUUCCUCUGGGGAAGAACAGUCUGAAUUAAUAAAACAUCAGAGUGGUUGAGUAAUAAAAAUAAACACAGAUGUAUUGCUUUCAAGUCUUAGAGUGACAUAAAGUAGUCUUAAAUAAAUAGUUCUUAUUUUAACCAGUUGAUUGUACUAACGAGAUGUAAUUAUCUGAAGUAUUUAUGAUUAGCAUAUUGGUUUUUAUAAGUAUUUCUGAGUUAUUGAGGGUGCUUAAAAAUGCUGAAGAAACUUUCAAACAUGAUUCUUCUUAUAAUUUUAUGUGAUUCUUAUAGCACAAUCAUUUUUGAAAAAGGAAAACUAGGCUGGGUGUAGUGGCUCAUGCCUAUAAUCCCAGCACUUUGAGAGGCCAAAGUGGGUGGAUCACCCGAGUUCAGGAGUUUGAGACCAGUCUGGCCAACAUAGUGAAACCUCGUCUCUACUAAAAAUAUAAAAAUUAUCCGGUGUGGUGACAGGCUGCUUGUAAUCCCAGCUACUCGGGAGGCUGAGGCAUGGGAAUCUCUUGAACCUGGGAGGCAGAGGUUGCAAUAAGCCAAGAUCAUGCCACUGCAUGCCAGCCUGGGUGACAGCACAAGACUCUGUAUCAAAAAAAAAAAAAGGAAAAAGAAAACUAGCCCCAGUCCCUGUCUAAAUUGUUAUAGUUUUUGACUAUUAUCUGAAUUAGUCUUAUCCAAAUUUCAUAUGCAGAUUGAUAAUUUUUCAUUUUGUAUGUAUAUUACAUGAUAUAACUAUUUUCAUAGAAUAUAUUUCUAAUUUACAAACACUGAAUUAUUAUUAGCUUGAUAGAGUUUCUCCCAAACCUUAUAAAACUUUGAAAUGUACUUAUGUUUGAGCUUUAAAAAUUAUAAAAACUUCACUUAAACAAGUUGCUGGCAUCAUUACUAGCCUUUCCACCUAUAAUUAUGAUGCAUUUGAUGCCACUGAACAGUAAUAGCACAAAGAACAGGUCACACGGUCUAGACUGGACUGAGUUUUAAUUAAACUUCUUCAGCCAUAGCCUGAUAAGAAUCAGGCUGGGUCUAGAAGAGUUAUCAGACUGUAGGCCUGUAUUAAUUUUGCAAGCUAAUGUUAAUGUUUACUGCCAGCCUUGCAUAGCAAUGCCAGUUUGCCGUUGUGACUAUGAUGUGACUUUUGGUAAAAAUGGUUUAUAUCUAAAGUAGUUUAGAUUUUAUGGAAGUGGCUCUUGAUUGUUUGGACAAGCAGGGUAGGUAAAUUUCAAUUACGUUUGAAGUGUAAUUAAAUCCUAGAAUAGAGCACUCUCCAGAAAAAAAAAAAUGAAAAAAGAAUUUGGAGACUAUCCUGGCAUGAAGACUUUUUUGAAUAAUAUGUAGAAUUUUGACAAGGUUCAUACAGUGUGAGCUUUUUUGAGGUGGGCAGGGAGGGUUGCUACGUUGUGUUGAUUUAAAAUUUCAAGGAGGAACAAAAACAUUCUAGCCAAGGAGAAUUGCAUUGUUAAUUUUUUUCUACUAAUUUAAACGUGCAUUUUUCACAGUUACACAUUUGUUUAAGUUUUGCUACCAAAAAUGGCCAUUUUUCUAGACAGAUAACAUUUUCCUAAAGUGGAAAAGAGAUCCACUGUUCUAAAAAAAAAAAAAAACACUAAAUUGUGCCUUCUCCCUUAAAUUAUAAGAAGAGUAAUAGUAAAAACUUGUUUAAACUAUAUUUUCUUUUUUUCUAAUCCCUCUCAGUUCUCCUUAGAUCUGCCUCCUACAAAUGAUCAUGUUGUUUGCAUCUGCCUGAUUGAGUUCCCUUGGUCAAACCUCUCACUAUCACUAUCAGAAGUUGUUCACUAAAUGUAUUUUCCUACUUCUUUCAUGUUGAUUGACUUUAUAAGUCACCUUGGUAAACAUAACAUUUGGCCACCUUCUCAUGCUUUAUAAAUGAAUUUAAUGAAUGGCAGUUUUUAUAUUUAACCCCUUUAAAAAGUUUGUCAAGGAAACAACUCAGAGCUAAGAACAAAAUCUAACUUGGAAUCAGUUUCUUCCUUUGGCUGCUGAAGCAGCAGCAAGUCACAUAACCUCAUUUAGUUUUUUGAUUUACAAAAUGUGGAUAAUAACCUACCUCACAGAUGUGUGUGAGCAACUGUUUGAAAGCCCUUGUUUAAAUACAGGGUUUAUAUCCCCACAUUCAAUGUAAAUUCCUUUUUUUAAAAAAAAUAAGUAUCUUUGAUACUGAUAGGAUGAGUAUCUUGAUUUUUAGGUAAGAUCACAGUUUCACAAAUUGCGGUGUUGUUAGGUGAUAUUUAAUAUUUCUUGAGACCUCAAGUAUUCAAAUAUCAAACUUGUCCUGUGUUGUAACAAAUAUUCAGAAUCUCUUAAAAUGUUGGCUGAAGCUGCCUUAAUGUACCAAAAUACAGCUCUCAAGACUGUUCACAAAUAUCUGUGGUUGUACAAUGUUUUGAACAUUUAAUGUAAAGUUGUUAUAGAACUGUGAACUCUAAGGAUAGUAUCUUUAUUGUUUUAGGAAGAAUGGUUGUGUUCUUUGUCAUGUAUGCUUAAAUAUACAGUGGAUUUUGAGUGCAACAAAUAAAACUGAAAACAGCCAUUUGGUUGUGUCAUGACAAUCAUAAUAUAGGAUAUAAUAUUUACUUUUUUUCAAAAACAUCCUGCAUUCAUUCAUUCUUAGCCUACCUUUGAAAAAGAAAAAAAAAUCCAUAGGUUGAUACAUUGACCCAUUGAAUACUUCAUUACGUAUUUAUUGAAAAUUUUUUUUAAUUGUUGAAAUUGGGACCACUUUUUAUAAUUGGUUUCAAGAAAAAAAAUGAACAGACUUCCAGUGCUUUUCUGUUCAAAUAAACUCCGAUUCAAAUUUCAGUUUUGUUUGUUAUAUACUUUUUGUGAGUGUUAAAUGAUAUGGGAAGGAUUUGUCUUUCAGUAACCAUAUGGAAAAGAUGUCUUCCUGAAUUACAUAGCAUUUCAUAGUUACAGAUUCUUCCUAAUUAAUGUUUGCACCGUAUGAAACUCAUAGGUAACAAACACAAAGGAGAAAAGCAGCCUGUCUGAUUGCUUAUAAGCUUUUUUCACAAAAUCAAAUUAAAGUCUCUGAUUCAUUUGAAAGCUA
Molecule: RNA transcript, 9606 nt
Organism: Pan troglodytes (chimpanzee)
Lineage: Eukaryota; Metazoa; Chordata; Mammalia; Primates; Hominidae
Gene: PRKAA2
Gene name: protein kinase AMP-activated catalytic subunit alpha 2
Exons: 9
Source: RefSeq, a predicted model, not a curated record